Molecule: ribosomal RNA, 1255 nt
Filed under: metagenome
Description: bacterial SSU rRNA
Rfam family: Bacterial small subunit ribosomal RNA
Source: RNAcentral
AGAUAGUUGGUGAGGUAAUGGCUCACCAAGUCAAUGACGCCUAACUGGUUUGAGAGGAUGAUCAGUCACACUGGAACUGAGACACGGUCCAGACUCCUACGGGAGGCAGCAGUGGGGAAUAUUGCACAAUGGAGGAAACUCUGAUGCAGCAACGCCGCGUGGAGGAUGACACUUUUCGGAGCGUAAACUCCUUUUAUAUAGGAAGAUAAUGACGGUACUAUAUGAAUAAGCACCGGCUAACUCCGUGCCAGCAGCCGCGGUAAUACGGAGGGUGCAAGCGUUACUCGGAAUCACUGGGCGUAAAGAGCGUGUAGGCGGAUAGAUAAGUUUGAAGUGAAAUCCAAUGGCUUAACCAUUGAACUGCUUUGAAAACUGUCUAUCUAGAAUAUGGGAGAGGUAGAUGGAAUUUCUGGUGUAGGGGUAAAAUCCGUAGAGAUCAGAAGGAAUACCGAUUGCGAAGGCGAUCUACUGGAACAUUAUUGACGCUGAGACGCGAAAGCGUGGGGAGCAAACAGGAUUAGAUACCCUGGUAGUCCACGCCCUAAACGAUGUACACUAGUUGUUGCGAUGCUAGACAUUGCAGUAAUGCAGUUAACACAUUAAGUGUACCGCCUGGGGAGUACGGUCGCAAGAUUAAAACUCAAAGGAAUAGACGGGGACCCGCACAAGCGGUGGAGCAUGUGGUUUAAUUCGACAUACGCGAAGAACCUUACCUGGACUUGACAUAGUAAGAACUUUCUAGAGAUAGAUUGGUGUCUGCUUGCAGAAACUUAUAUACAGGUGCUGCACGGCUGUCGUCAGCUCGUGUCGUGAGAUGUUGGGUUAAGUCCCGCAACGAGCGCAACCCUCGUCGUUAGUUGCUAACAGUUCGGCUGAGAACUCUAACGAGACUGCCUACGCAAGUAGGAGGAAGGUGAGGACGACGUCAAGUCAUCAUGGCCCUUACGUCCAGGGCUACACACGUGCUACAAUGGGGCAUACAAGGAGCAGCAAUACGGUGACGUGGAGCAAAUCUCAAAAAUGCCUCCCAGUUCGGAUAGUAGUCUGCAACUCGACUACUUGAAGUUGGAAUCGCUAGUAAUCGUAGAUCAGCAAUGCUACGGUGAAUACGUUCCCGGGUCUUGUACUCACCGCCCGUCACACCAUGGGAGUUGAACUCAUUCGAAGCGGGGAUGCUAAAGUAGCUACCCUCCACAGUGGAUUCAGCGACUGGGGUGAAGUCGUAACAAGGUAACCGUAGGAGAACCUGCGGUUG